This 75-nucleotide transfer RNA is filed under the name Pedosphaera sp. RNAcentral describes it as "tRNA-Val". It matches the Rfam family "tRNA". From Rfam's summary of the family: Transfer RNA (tRNA) molecules are approximately 80 nucleotides in length. Their secondary structure includes four short double-helical elements and three loops (D, anti-codon, and T loops). Lineage: Bacteria; Pseudomonadati; Verrucomicrobiota; Pedosphaerae; Pedosphaerales; Pedosphaeraceae. The record is from RNAcentral.
GGGCGAUUGGCGCAGUGGUAGCGCAGCAGUUUUACACACUGUUGGUCGCAGGUUCGAAUCCUGCAUCGCCCACCA